GGGCCCGCACAAGCAGUGGAGCAUGUGGUUUAAUUCGAUGCAACGCGAAGAACCUUACCAGGGUUUGACAUCCUGCGAAUCUCUUGGAAACCGAGAGAGUGCCUUCGGGAGCGCAGUGACAGGUGGUGCAUGGCUGUCGUCAGCUCGUGUCGUGAGAUGUUGGUUAAGUCCCGCAACGAGCGCAACCCACGUCUUUAGUUGCCAGCAUUUAGUUGGGCACUCUAGAGAGACUGCCGGUGAUAAACCGGAGGAAGGUGUGGAUGACGUCAAGUCAUCAUGCCCCUUACAUCCUGGGCUACACACGUACUACAAUGCUACGGACAAAGGGCAGCAAGUUCGCGAGGAC
RNAcentral lists this ribosomal RNA (346 nucleotides) under uncultured bacterium. Its description in RNAcentral is "bacterial SSU rRNA". It matches the Rfam family "Bacterial small subunit ribosomal RNA", at positions 917 to 1264 of the family's 1533-position model. The record is from RNAcentral.